CCUACGGGAGGCAGCAGUGAGGAAUAUUGGUCAAUGGGCGGGAGCCUGAACCAGCCAAGUCGCGUGAGGGAAGACGGUCCUACGGAUUGUAAACCUCUUUUGCCGGGGAGCAACGGGGUCCUUGCGAGGGCCCAAUGAGAGUACCCGGAGAAAAAGCAUCGGCUAACUCCGUGCCAGCAGCCGCGGUAAUACGGAGGAUGCGAGCGUUAUCCGGAAUGACUGGGCGUAAAGGGUGCGUAGGUGGUUUGACAAGUUAGUAGCGUAAUUCCGGGGCUCAACUUCGGAACUACUACUAAAACUGUUGGGCUUGAGUGCAGGAGAGGUGAAUGGAAUUCCUAGUGUAGCGGUGGAAUGCGUAGAUAUUAGGAGGAACACCAGCGGCGAAAGCGAUUCACUGGACUGUAACUGACACUGAGGCACGAAAGCGUGGGGAGCAAACAGGAUUAGAUACCCUGGUAGUC
Molecule: ribosomal RNA, 461 nt
Filed under: uncultured bacterium
Lineage: Bacteria
Description: partial 16S ribosomal RNA
Rfam family: Bacterial small subunit ribosomal RNA
Source: RNAcentral